This is an RNA transcript of Benincasa hispida (wax gourd), 1062 nucleotides long. It is a transcript of the gene named exosome complex component RRP41 homolog, with no coding region annotated. The record is from RefSeq and is a predicted model, not a curated record. NCBI's taxonomy places the organism in Eukaryota, Viridiplantae, Streptophyta, Magnoliopsida, Cucurbitales, Cucurbitaceae.
UCAAAGGAAAAAAAAAAGUUGGGUACUAAAAAAUAAUUUUCCCUUUCUUUUUUUCUUUUUCCUUAAAAUGUUUCUCACUUCCCUUUCUGCCUUUCAAAAUCUCUUCGUUUUGCUAUUUUUUUAUGAACUAGUUCUGCUGUUUAUGAAACGAUCCAAGAGAGGUGCGCUGUGAGUAUACCAUGGCUAAUUUCAUUAGUGAGAAAACCUAGGCUGCAGAUAGAUCAGCAUGUACCAAUGCUGCAACUUUAGCUCUUACUAUUGCUGGAAUUCCCAGGAGUGAUAAUGUUACUUCCUACAGUGCUGGCUACCUCAAUGGCGCUUCUCUGCUCGGUAACUUGUUCCUCCCUCUCAUUCAUCAAUUGUCUGAUUGAUGAAUCUGAUAGUAAUGCUAGUACUUAGGAGGAUAGAAUUAGGAAUAUUAUCAGAAUAUUGAGAUUAUAUCAGUAAUUAGUCAGGGCAAUUGUUACGAUUAUUUGUUAUAAUAUAAUAAGGAGGUAUGCAUUGGUUUAAUUGGUUUAGACUUGCGUGAUCUCAAGAGAGGGAGGUUUAAUACCUUGAAUUACUUGGUAGUUAUCUUUCUGUAUUUUCUUCACUAUUAAUAUAUUUCUUAGGUGCCCAUCAGAAUCAGAUGUGAACAUUCGUUUUUGUCUAACUUUUUGUUUAUUACCUUAGGCAUCAUAAGCUAACUAUAUAGUUUUUUAAAAUUACGAUAGUUUUCUUUCAAUCUCUUUACAAGGAUGUUCAUUUUGAAGCAUAUGGAUUUUUAAUUAAAUUCUAAAAAUAAAAACAAGAUUUUAGAAACUACCUUCUUUGGUCUUUAAAACUUGGCUUGGAUUUUGAAAAUAUCCCCGAAAAAAGUAGACAACCAAACAAAGAAACUUAUGAGUAGAAAUAGUAUUUAUAAGCUUAAAGCCAAAAUGGUUAUGAAACGGGCAUUUUAGGCCCCAUUUGGUAACCAUUUUAUUUUUUAUUUUUGUUUUUGAAAAAUUUAGCUUAUGCACACUACUUCCACCACCAAAUUUCUUCCUUUAUCUACUUUUCACGAAUGGUUUAAAAAACCAA